GGGUUGUGAGGUUAAGCGACUAAGCGUACACGGUGGAUGCCCUGGCAGUCAGAGGCGAUGAAGGACGUGCUAAUCUGCGAUAAGCGUCGGUAAGGUGAUAUGAACCGUUAUAACCGGCGAUUUCCGAAUGGGGAAACCCAGUGUGUUUCGACACACUAUCAUUAACUGAAUCCAUAGGUUAAUGAGGCGAACCGGGGGAACUGAAACAUCUAAGUACCCCGAGGAAAAGAAAUCAACCGAGAUUCCCCCAGUAGCGGCGAGCGAACGGGGAGCAGCCCAGAGCCUGAAUCAGUGUGUGUGUUAGUGGAAGCGUCUGGAAAGGCGCGCGAUACAGGGUGACAGCCCCGUACACAAAAAUGCACAUGCUGUGAGCUCGAUGAGUAGGGCGGGACACGUGGUAUCCUGUCUGAAUAUGGGGGGACCAUCCUCCAAGGCUAAAUACUCCUGACUGACCGAUAGUGAACCAGUACCGUGAGGGAAAGGCGAAAAGAACCCCGGCGAGGGGAGUGAAAAAGAACCUGAAACCGUGUACGUACAAGCAGUGGGAGCCUCUUUUAUGGGGUGACUGCGUACCUUUUGUAUAAUGGGUCAGCGACUUAUAUUCUGUAGCAAGGUUAACCGAAUAGGGGAGCCGAAGGGAAACCGAGUCUUAACUGGGCGUUAAGUUGCAGGGUAUAGACCCGAAACCCGGUGAUCUAGCCAUGGGCAGGUUGAAGGUUGGGUAACACUAACUGGAGGACCGAACCGACUAAUGUUGAAAAAUUAGCGGAUGACUUGUGGCUGGGGGUGAAAGGCCAAUCAAACCGGGAGAUAGCUGGUUCUCCCCGAAAGCUAUUUAGGUAGCGCCUCGUGAAUUCAUCUCCGGGGGUAGAGCACUGUUUCGGCAAGGGGGUCAUCCCGACUUACCAACCCGAUGCAAACUGCGAAUACCGGAGAAUGUUAUCACGGGAGACACACGGCGGGUGCUAACGUCCGUCGUGAAGAGGGAAACAACCCAGACCGCCAGCUAAGGUCCCAAAGUCAUGGUUAAGUGGGAAACGAUGUGGGAAGGCCCAGACAGCCAGGAUGUUGGCUUAGAAGCAGCCAUCAUUUAAAGAAAGCGUAAUAGCUCACUGGUCGAGUCGGCCUGCGCGGAAGAUGUAACGGGGCUAAACCAUGCACCGAAGCUGCGGCAGCGACGCUUAUGCGUUGUUGGGUAGGGGAGCGUUCUGUAAGCCUGCGAAGGUGUGCUGUGAGGCAUGCUGGAGGUAUCAGAAGUGCGAAUGCUGACAUAAGUAACGAUAAAGCGGGUGAAAAGCCCGCUCGCCGGAAGACCAAGGGUUCCUGUCCAACGUUAAUCGGGGCAGGGUGAGUCGACCCCUAAGGCGAGGCCGAAAGGCGUAGUCGAUGGGAAACAGGUUAAUAUUCCUGUACUUGGUGUUACUGCGAAGGGGGGACGGAGAAGGCUAUGUUGGCCGGGCGACGGUUGUCCCGGUUUAAGCGUGUAGGCUGGUUUUCCAGGCAAAUCCGGAAAAUCAAGGCUGAGGCGUGAUGACGAGGCACUACGGUGCUGAAGCAACAAAUGCCCUGCUUCCAGGAAAAGCCUCUAAGCAUCAGGUAACAUCAAAUCGUACCCCAAACCGACACAGGUGGUCAGGUAGAGAAUACCAAGGCGCUUGAGAGAACUCGGGUGAAGGAACUAGGCAAAAUGGUGCCGUAACUUCGGGAGAAGGCACGCUGAUAUGUAGGUGAAGUCCCUCGCGGAUGGAGCUGAAAUCAGUCGAAGAUACCAGCUGGCUGCAACUGUUUAUUAAAAACACAGCACUGUGCAAACACGAAAGUGGACGUAUACGGUGUGACGCCUGCCCGGUGCCGGAAGGUUAAUUGAUGGGGUCAGCGCAAGCGAAGCUCUUGAUCGAAGCCCCGGUAAACGGCGGCCGUAACUAUAACGGUCCUAAGGUAGCGAAAUUCCUUGUCGGGUAAGUUCCGACCUGCACGAAUGGCGUAAUGAUGGCCAGGCUGUCUCCACCCGAGACUCAGUGAAAUUGAACUCGCUGUGAAGAUGCAGUGUACCCGCGGCAAGACGGAAAGACCCCGUGAACCUUUACUAUAGCUUGACACUGAACAUUGAGCCUUGAUGUGUAGGAUAGGUGGGAGGCUUUGAAGUGUGGACGCCAGUCUGCAUGGAGCCGACCUUGAAAUACCACCCUUUAAUGUUUGAUGUUCUAACGUUGACCCGUGAUCCGGGUUGCGGACAGUGUCUGGUGGGUAGUUUGACUGGGGCGGUCUCCUCCUAAAGAGUAACGGAGGAGCACGAAGGUUGGCUAAUCCUGGUCGGACAUCAGGAGGUUAGUGCAAUGGCAUAAGCCAGCUUGACUGCGAGCGUGACGGCGCGAGCAGGUGCGAAAGCAGGUCAUAGUGAUCCGGUGGUUCUGAAUGGAAGGGCCAUCGCUCAACGGAUAAAAGGUACUCCGGGGAUAACAGGCUGAUACCGCCCAAGAGUUCAUAUCGACGGCGGUGUUUGGCACCUCGAUGUCGGCUCAUCACAUCCUGGGGCUGAAGUAGGUCCCAAGGGUAUGGCUGUUCGCCAUUUAAAGUGGUACGCGAGCUGGGUUUAGAACGUCGUGAGACAGUUCGGUCCCUAUCUGCCGUGGGCGCUGGAGAACUGAGGGGGGCUGCUCCUAGUACGAGAGGACCGGAGUGGACGCAUCACUGGUGUUCGGGUUGUCAUGCCAAUGGCACUGCCCGGUAGCUAAAUGCGGAAGAGAUAAGUGCUGAAAGCAUCUAAGCACGAAACUUGCCCCGAGAUGAGUUCUCCCUGACUCCUUGAGAGUCCUGAAGGAACGUUGAAGACGACGACGUUGAUAGGCCGGGUGUGUAAGCGCAGCGAUGCGUUGAGCUAACCGGUACUAAUGAACCGUGAGGCUUAACCUUACAACGCCGAAG
This 2925-nucleotide ribosomal RNA is filed under the name Escherichia coli. Its description in RNAcentral is "23S ribosomal RNA". It matches the Rfam family "Bacterial large subunit ribosomal RNA". The record is from RNAcentral. Lineage: Bacteria; Pseudomonadati; Pseudomonadota; Gammaproteobacteria; Enterobacterales; Enterobacteriaceae.